Long non-coding RNA from Alosa sapidissima (American shad), 164 nucleotides. RefSeq lists it as uncharacterized. The transcript has 3 exons. NCBI's taxonomy places the organism in Eukaryota, Metazoa, Chordata, Actinopteri, Clupeiformes, Clupeidae. The record is from RefSeq and is a predicted model, not a curated record.
AUCUCUAUGAAGCCAAUUUGAUGGUAAACAAAUUUGUAAUAGGGGAAUCGUUCACCUAUAGCAUAGCCGUAGCAGGACGCUACCAAGAGAACCAGCAAUGCAACUUCAACAAUUGCUGACCCAGAGACAUCUUGCAUGAAUCACAAUCUUUCUUUGUUUGGCAG